GGGCGCGUAGCUCAGCGGGAGAGCACCUCGUUCACACCGAGGGGGUCACAGGUUCGAUCCCUGUCGCGCCCA
Aureimonas ureilytica is the source of this 72-nucleotide non-coding RNA. The record is from Rfam. Lineage: Bacteria; Pseudomonadati; Pseudomonadota; Alphaproteobacteria; Hyphomicrobiales; Aurantimonadaceae.